GUACGAGCGCAACCCUUGUCCUUAGUUACCAGCACGUUAUGGUGGGCACUCUAAGGAGACUGCCGGUGACAAACCGGAGGAAGGUGGGGAUGACGUCAAGUCAUCAUGGCCCUUACGGCCUGGGCUACACACGUGCUACAAUGGUCGGUACAAAGGGUUGCCAAGCCGCGAGGUGGAGCUAAUCCCAUAAAACCGAUCGUAGUCCGGAUCGCAGUCUGCAACUCGACUGCGUGAAGUCGGAAUCGCUAGUAAUCGUGAAUCAGAAUGUCACGGUGAAUACGUUCCCGGGCCUU
RNAcentral lists this ribosomal RNA (293 nucleotides) under uncultured Pseudomonas sp. RNAcentral's name for it is "partial 16S ribosomal RNA". It matches the Rfam family "Bacterial small subunit ribosomal RNA", at positions 1090 to 1382 of the family's 1533-position model. Lineage: Bacteria; Pseudomonadati; Pseudomonadota; Gammaproteobacteria; Pseudomonadales; Pseudomonadaceae. The record is from RNAcentral. RNAcentral also lists the same sequence under 1 other name.